GCCUGUUUACCAAAAACAUCGCCUCCUGCAACAUAACCAAGUAUAGGAGGUCCAGCCUGCCCAGUGACCACAAGUACAACGGCCGCGGUAUUUUGACCGGGCAAAGAUAGCGCAAUCACUUGUCUUUUAAAUAGAGACCUGUAUUAAUGGCUAAACGAGGGCUUAACUGUCUCCCCUUUCAAGUCAGUGAAAUUGAUCUGCCCGUGCAGAAGCGGGUAUAAUAAUACAAGACGAGAAGACCCUUUGGAGCUUAAGGUACAAAACUCAGCCACGUCAAGCAACUUAAUAAAAAGCAAAAACCUUGUGGAAUAUGAUAUUUUACCUUCGGUUGGGGCGACCACGGAGGAAAGAAAAGCCUCCAAGUGGAUCUGGGAAAAUUUCCUAAAGCUAAGAGAGACAUCUCUAAGCCGCAGAACAUCUGACCAAACAUGAUCCGGCAACAAAGCCGAUCAACGAACCAAGUUACCCUAGGGAUAACAGCGCAAUCCUCUCCCAGAGUCCAUAUCGACGAGGGGGUUUACGACCUCGAUGUUGGAUCAGGACAUCCUAAUGGUGCAGCCGCUAUUAAGGGUUCGUUUGUUCAACGAUUAAAGUCCUACGUGAUCUGAGUUCAGACCGG
RNAcentral lists this ribosomal RNA (619 nucleotides) under Schizothorax labiatus (Kunar snowtrout). RNAcentral describes it as "partial 16S ribosomal RNA". It matches the Rfam family "Bacterial large subunit ribosomal RNA", at positions 1798 to 2619 of the family's 2925-position model. The record is from RNAcentral. Lineage: Eukaryota; Metazoa; Chordata; Actinopteri; Cypriniformes; Cyprinidae.